Molecule: long non-coding RNA, 1172 nt
Filed under: Malus domestica (apple)
Lineage: Eukaryota; Viridiplantae; Streptophyta; Magnoliopsida; Rosales; Rosaceae
Description: long non-coding RNA (MDOM_LNC004680)
Source: RNAcentral
GAUAUUUUACAACAGGCAGAGAUCCUUCUUCUUCUUCUUCCUCGCGCUAUUUCUCAAUUUUCACUUUACCCUCUCUAUCACCAUCUCUCUCUCACUCUCGAGCUCGAAUGAAGGUAUGUUAUCCCCCACAUUUUUUCUCUUUAAUUUUUUUUUUUAAUUUGAGAAUUUGACUUAUAUGUGAUGUGUGAAUGGGUGGGGGUGGGGAGGGACGAGGCUGGGAGCGUACCGGCAACCGGGUAGAGUUUGUGUUUGUGUGUGUGUUGGAUAAGUUUUAGGAAUUGUUUUGUAAUUUUGUAUGAAUUUUAUGAAAUAUCGUCAUUUUAGAAAAUUUUAAUUCCUAGAAAUUUUAAGAAGUUUUUGAAAAACUAGAAAUUUUUAGGAAAUAUUGGAUAUAUUGGAAAUAAUAGAGGAAUUUUAGGAAUUAUUUAUUUUUUAGGAAUCUUAUAAAUUUUAGAAAUUUUAUAUGAAUUUUCUAAAUUAGUGUUUCUUUAUUGUGAAUUGUUUUUCUAUUUUCUAGGAAUCUUAUAAAUUUUAGAAAUUUAUAUGAAUUUUCUAAAUUAGUGUUUCUUUAUUGUGAAUUAUUUUUCUAUUAUCUAGGAAUCUUAUAAAUUUUAGAAAUUUAUAUGAAUUUUCUAAAUUAGUGUUUCUUCAUUGUAAAUUUUUUAUGUCAUUGUGGUUCAUCACCACUGGGCGUUGCUCUGCGUUCGGGUCAGAAUGAACCGGCAACAGAGAUGAGGGAUAUUCCAUUGGCGAUGACCAAAGGUACCCAGGCAACCAUCAUCGAGUCGACUACUGAGUCCACUCCAUCAGCUUCAUUGGUCCGGGAGCUCGAUUUACCCGAUGUAUUCAAAACCAAAAAUGGUCUGGUGCUUUGCUAGCCCCAGCACUUGUGGUGACAUCGUGGAAGUCGAUGCCCAUUCGGUGCCAUGCCCCCGAGGGAGGCGCACUGUAGAGGCUUGUCCUCAAACCAAAUCACCAGCAUAACGCAAGCCAAAGUCCUGGUCGUUUACGACCAAAGACAUCGGCGGUGGACGUCAAAGUCAACAGCUUGUUGACUCAUGACAUGAGAGUCGUCAUCUGCACUAAGGCCAUCUCCAACCGAAGGGUCCAGAGGGCCAGAGGGCCGAAAAUAGCUCUAAAACCGUCUCCAACCGAGGGUUAGGCUAGAGGAC